ACUCCUACGGGAGGCAGCAGUAGGGGAAUAUUGCGCAAUGGACGAAAGUCUGACGCAGCCACGCCGCGUGAGUGAGGAAGGCCUUCGGGUUGUAAAGCUCUGGUCAUCCGGGAAAACGGCUAUCUGGGGAAAGUCAGGUAGCGUGAUAGGUACCGGAGGAGGAANCACCGGCAAACUCUGUGCCAGCAGCCGCGGUAAUACAGAGGGUGCAAGCGUUGUUCGGAAUUACUGGGCGUAAAGCGUGCGUAGUCGGUAUUGAGAAGUCCAGCGGGU
RNAcentral lists this ribosomal RNA (273 nucleotides) under uncultured bacterium. Its description in RNAcentral is "partial 16S ribosomal RNA". It matches the Rfam family "Bacterial small subunit ribosomal RNA", at positions 335 to 597 of the family's 1533-position model. The record is from RNAcentral.